UUUCAGAACAUGCCCUGUUGCCUGGCUAACUGCCUUAAACCCCCUACAGGCCUAUUCUAUCUUUCCCUAAAUAAAAAACCCUCGAAACAGAGCCCAAUUCCAAUACACAAAAAUCCGCCUGCCGCCAUGUCCGCCACCGCAGCUGCCAGGUCAGUCCUCCGUUUCGCCGCCGUCAGGCCGGCAGCUGCCCGGCGAUUCCGGCAGCUGCCCGGCGAUUAGCCUCCGAAGCCAGGCCAACCUCCUUCACUUUCCGCACCUCUAGAAGAUCGCCGCCUACUCUUCGUCUUUCCAGGUAGUUCUUCACUUCUUCUCCCCCCAUCUGAAAAGAGUAUCUCUUUGUCAAUUUCAGAUUAUGAGAUGUGAUGGGAUUAUUUCGACUAGGUCGAUGAGCUCGGUGUCAUUGCUUCCGUAUCACAGCGCGACUGCCUCUGCGUUGAUCAACUCGAAGCUCUCAGUCUCCAGCUGCGCUUAUGUGUGGACGCUCGAUGGUAAAAGCUUCACCCAGUUACUUGAUAAUCUUUGUUUUCUGUUUGGUUGACUGAUUGAUUCGAAAAGAUUACCUCUUUGUAGCUCAAUUAUAGCCUAGGUGUCCACAUUGUUCAGAUUUUGGAGCUCUUUUGACUGUGCUUUAGAACCCAGAUUCCUGUUUUCAAUGGCAUCCCAAUGAGGGAAAGAUCGAUUCUUUUUAGGUUGUUUGGAUGAUGGCUUUACAAUUCACUGAUCAUGGAAUGUAUUACUUGAUAAAACAUUUGAAUGUUGCUUCUGAAUUGAAAACUAGGGUAUGGGAUUCAGGGAACUAUAUAAGUUUUGGUUGAUAAGUUUGAUCUGCAGUCUACUGUGAUUUUGACUUGUUUGCUCCGAUUCUGCUGUGCUUGACUGAAUCAUAAACCCACAUCACUAAGUCCAUUGCUUCAUGUUCUUUGUAUCGUAUUGAUAGCAAGUCCACAGUUUUAUGGCUUUUCGUGCUGUGUUGCAGAUGGAUAAUAGGUGAUCGAUCAAGGACGAAGAGAUGUUGUCAUUUCGGCGUACAAGUCUGGGUUGUUUUAACUUUCAAGACAAUUGAAGUCAUUCAGAUUGGAAACAAUUUCGAUGUCCCUCUGUUCAUAGAGAUAGUUUGAUCAUAAAUUCAUACUUAUGGCAACUUGAAGCUUUGCUUGUAUUGAUAAUUGUAGUAAUUCUACACUGACUUGUUAGCUUUCCUCACCAACUUAGAAAACUCGGUUCAAUUUCAUGACUAUACAAUUUGUUUGGUGUGGAUUUCAUUCGCCGCGAAUCGAAUGCAUGCCAAAGAAAGAUCCAAUUACGCCAUUCCGAUGGGGAAUUAUAGGCCAUACUUGGUGCAAAGAAAGUAUCACCAAAAUAAACCAAGCAGUCUACUAUCAACAGUUUUAACACAAAUAUUCAAGGCAAUGGCUUGUCAUGAUAAAGACCAAAGCACUUCUUCACAUACGUCCUUGCAAAAUGGUUACAGCUAGUUAAACUACCAGAAAGAUCGAACCGAUUUGUGGAACUGUGUCAUUACCAUACUCCCCAUAUACUAUAACCCGAUAAGGAAAACCAGAAACUUUGAUCAGGCCUCUCCAAGCUUAUAUAUACUUCUUAACCCAACCCCAGCAGUGAAAUGUUUCUCUAA
Molecule: long non-coding RNA, 1633 nt
Filed under: Linum usitatissimum (flax)
Lineage: Eukaryota; Viridiplantae; Streptophyta; Magnoliopsida; Malpighiales; Linaceae
Description: long non-coding RNA (LUSI_LNC007879)
Source: RNAcentral